AACGAACGCUGGCGGCAGGCCUAACACAUGCAAGUCGAGCGAGGACUUCGGUCCUAGCGGCGGACGGGUGAGUAACGCGUGGGAACGUGCCCUUUGCUUCGGAAUAGCCCUGGGAAACUGGGAGUAAUACCGGAUGACCCCCUUGGGGGAAAGAUUUAUCGGCGAAGGAUCGGCCCGCGUUGGAUUAGGUAGUUGGUGGGGUAAUGGCCUACCAAGCCGACGAUCCAUAGCUGGUUUGAGAGGAUGAUCAGCCACACUGGGACUGAGACACGGCCCAGACUCCUACGGGAGGCAGCAGUGGGGAAUCUUAGACAAUGGGGGAAGUCCUGAUCUAGCCAUGCCGCGUAAGCGAUGAAGGCCUUAGAGUUGUAAAGCUCUUUCAGCUGGGAAGAUAAUGACGGUACCAGCAGAAGAAGCCCCGGCUAACUCCGUG
RNAcentral lists this ribosomal RNA (433 nucleotides) under uncultured bacterium. Its description in RNAcentral is "partial 16S ribosomal RNA". It matches the Rfam family "Bacterial small subunit ribosomal RNA", at positions 29 to 507 of the family's 1533-position model. The record is from RNAcentral.